This 300-nucleotide ribosomal RNA is filed under the name uncultured Lactobacillus sp. RNAcentral describes it as "bacterial SSU rRNA". It matches the Rfam family "Bacterial small subunit ribosomal RNA", at positions 496 to 795 of the family's 1533-position model. The record is from RNAcentral. Lineage: Bacteria; Bacillati; Bacillota; Bacilli; Lactobacillales; Lactobacillaceae.
GCUAAGGAGGGGCCAGAGGCUGGGGGAAUGCUGAGGGGGCAAGCGGUGGCCGGAGUUAUUGGGCGUAAAGCGCGCGCAGGCGGGUUCGUAAGGCGGAGGUGAAAGCCCACGGCUGAACCGGGGAGGGUCAUUGGAAACUGGGAGACUUGAGUGCAGAAGAGGAAAGUGGAAUUCCAAGUGUAGCGGUGAAAUGCGUAGAGAUUUGGAGGAACACCAGUGGCGAAGGCGACUUUCUGGUCUGCAACUGACGCUGAGGCGCGAAAGCAUGGGGAGCAAACAGGAUUAGAUACCCCGGUAGUC